ACGCAUCGAAAGAUGUGCUAAUACCGCAUAUCUCUGAGGAGAAAAGCAGGGGAUCGCAAGACCUUGCGCUAAAGGAGCGGCCGAUGUCUGAUUAGCUAGUUGGUGGGGUAAAGGCUUACCAAGGCAACGAUCAGUAGUUGGUCUGAGAGGACGGCCAACCACACUGGGACUGAGACACGGCCCAGACUCCUACGGGAGGCAGCAGUGGGGAAUUUUGGACAAUGGGCGAAAGCCUGAUCCAGCCAUGCCGCGUGAGUGAAGAAGGCCUUCGGGUUGUAAAGCUCUUUUAGUCGGAAAGAAAGAGUUGCAAUGAAUAAUUGUGAUUUAUGACGGUACCGACAGAAAAAGCACCGGCUAACUACGUGCCAGCAGCCGCGGUAAUACGUAGGGUGCGAGCGUUAAUCGGAAUUACUGGGCGUAAAGGGUGCGCAGGCGGUCUUGCAAGUCAGAUGUGAAAGCCCCGGGCUUAACCUGGGAAUUGCGUUUGAAACUACAAGGCUAGAGUGCAGCAGAGGGGAGUGGAAUUCCAUGUGUAGCAGUGAAAUGCGUAGAGAUGUGGAAGAACACCGAUGGCGAAAGCAGCUCCCUGGGUUGACACUGACGCUCAUGCACGAAAGCGUGGGGAG
RNAcentral lists this ribosomal RNA (626 nucleotides) under uncultured bacterium. RNAcentral's name for it is "bacterial SSU rRNA". It matches the Rfam family "Bacterial small subunit ribosomal RNA", at positions 146 to 768 of the family's 1533-position model. The record is from RNAcentral.